GAUGAACGCUGGCGGCGUGCCUAAUACAUGCAAGUCGAGCGAACAGAUGAGGAGCUUGCUCCUCUGACGUUAGCGGCGGACGGGUGAGUAACACGUGGAAAACCUACCUAUAAGACUGGGAUAACUUCGGGAAACCGGAGCUAAUACCGGAUAAUAUAUUGAACCGCAUGGUUCAAUAGUGAAAGACGGUUUUGCUGUCACUUAUAGAUGGAUCCGCGCCGCAUUAGCUAGUUGGUAAGGUAACGGCCUACCAAGGCGACGAUGCGUAGGCGACCUGAGAGGGUGAUCGGCCACACUGGAACUGAGACACGGUCCAGACGCCUACGGGAGGCCGCAGUAGGGAAUCUGCCGCAAUGGGCGAAAGCCUUACGGAGCAACGCCGCGUGAGUGAUGAAGGUCUUCGGAUCGGAAAACUCUGUUAUUAGUGAAGAACAAAUGUGUAAGUAACUAUGCACGUCUUGACGGUACCGAAUCAGAAAGCCACGGCUAACUACGUG
Molecule: ribosomal RNA, 497 nt
Filed under: uncultured bacterium
Lineage: Bacteria
Description: partial 16S ribosomal RNA
Rfam family: Bacterial small subunit ribosomal RNA
Source: RNAcentral